RNAcentral lists this ribosomal RNA (434 nucleotides) under uncultured rumen bacterium. RNAcentral describes it as "bacterial SSU rRNA". It matches the Rfam family "Bacterial small subunit ribosomal RNA", at positions 958 to 1392 of the family's 1533-position model. The record is from RNAcentral.
AACGCGAAGAACCUUACCAGGUCUUGACAUCCGAUUAAAGCCGUAGAGAUAGGGUGUUCCUUCGGGAGAAUCGAGACAGGUGGUGCAUGGUUGUCGUCAGCUCGUGUCGUGAGAUGUUGGGUUAAGUCCCGCAACGAGCGCAACCCUUAUGGUCAGUUACUAACGCGUAGAGGCGAGGACUCUGACAAGACUGCCGGGGACAACUCGGAGGAAGGUGGGGACGACGUCAAAUCAUCAUGCCCCUUAUGACCUGGGCUACAAACGUGCUACAAUGGUGACAACAAAGAGGAGCGAGACCGUAAGGUGGAGCGGAUCUCAAAAAAGUCAUCCCAGUUCGGAUUGUGGGCUGCAACCCGCCCACAUGAAGUUGGAGUUGCUAGUAAUCGCGGAUCAGCAUGCCGCGGUGAAUACGUUCCCGGGUCUUGUACACACCG